RNAcentral lists this ribosomal RNA (274 nucleotides) under uncultured bacterium. RNAcentral describes it as "partial 16S ribosomal RNA". It matches the Rfam family "Bacterial small subunit ribosomal RNA", at positions 523 to 796 of the family's 1533-position model. The record is from RNAcentral.
AUACAGAGGGUGCGAGCGUUAAUGGGAAUUACUGGGCGUAAAGCGCGCGUAGGCGGCUGAUUAAGUCAGAUGUGAAAUCCCAGGGCUCAACCUUGGAACUGCAUCUGAUACUGGUCAGCUAGAGUUUAGGAGAGGGAAGUAGAAUUUCAGGUGUAGUGGUGAAAUGCAUAGAUAUCUGAAGGAAUACCAGUGGCGAAGGCGGCUUCCUGGCCUAAAACUGACGCUGAGGUGCGAAAGCGUGGGUAGCAAACGGGAUUAGAAACCCCAGUAGUCC